Molecule: ribosomal RNA, 468 nt
Filed under: uncultured bacterium
Lineage: Bacteria
Description: partial 16S ribosomal RNA
Rfam family: Bacterial small subunit ribosomal RNA
Source: RNAcentral
GACGAACGCUGGCGGCGUGCUUAACACAUGCAAGUCGAACGGAAAGGCCCUGCUUUUGUGGGGUGCUCGAGUGGCGAACGGGUGAGUAACACGUGAGUAACCUGCCCUUGACUUUGGGAUAACUUCAGGAAACUGGGGCUAAUACCGCAUUGUAGCUCCUGCUGCAUGGUGGGGGUUGGAAAGUUUCGGCGGUUGGGGAUGGACUCGCGGCUUAUCAGCUUGUUGGUGGGGUAGUGGCUUACCAAGGCUUUGACGGGUAGCCGGCCUGAGAGGGUGACCGGCCACAUUGGGACUGAGAUACGGCCCAGACUCCUACGGGAGGCAGCAGUGGGGAAUAUUGCACAAUGGGCGGAAGCCUGAUGCAGCAACGCCGCGUGCGGGAUGACGGCCUUCGGGUUGUAAACCGCUUUCGCCUGUGACGAAGCGUGAGUGACGGUAAUGGGUAAAGAAGCACCGGCUAACUACGUG